This 73-nucleotide transfer RNA is filed under the name Caudoviricetes sp. Its description in RNAcentral is "tRNA-OTHER". It matches the Rfam family "tRNA". From Rfam's summary of the family: Transfer RNA (tRNA) molecules are approximately 80 nucleotides in length. Their secondary structure includes four short double-helical elements and three loops (D, anti-codon, and T loops). Further hydrogen bonds mediate the characteristic L-shaped molecular structure. tRNAs have two regions of fundamental functional importance: the anti-codon, which is responsible for specific mRNA codon recognition, and the 3' end, to which the tRNAs corresponding amino acid is attached (by aminoacyl-tRNA synthetases). tRNAs cope with the degeneracy of the genetic code in two manners: having more than one tRNA (with a specific anti-codon) for a particular amino acid; and 'wobble' base-pairing, i.e. permitting non-standard base-pairing at the 3rd anti-codon position. The record is from RNAcentral. Lineage: Duplodnaviria; Heunggongvirae; Uroviricota; Caudoviricetes.
GCAGACGUAGCUCAGUCGGUAGAGCACCGCGCAGGGAGGUAUGUCGCAGGUUCAAAUCCUGCCGUCUGCACCA